AGUAGUCGUCGUCGUGAACUCACUUAUUCUCUCCGUCGUUCGUCCUCGUGACAGGAGCUCUUCUCCCCGGCGACCCCCCGCCCUCACGACAGCCCGCCUCUCGCCUCUUCCGCCGCUCCGGCCCCGUAAGCCCCCUUCCCUCCCCAUCUCUCUACCUGUACUAGUCUGCGAUUGAUUUGCCGGCGUGGAGCCCUGGCGAUUGUGGCGGGCCGGCGGCGAGCGGGGCAGAGGCCAGCGCCUUAGCAGAGGCGAACAGGCUGGAGGCGACGACGACCGGCUGGGCGGGAAGGGGCAGCCAAGGGAGCUACGGAGGAAGAGCAGGCUGCAGACGACGGCAACGGCAACAUACAGAUCGUAGCGUCCGACCGGCCAGACCAAAAAAAAGUUACAUUGAAUACCCAGCAAAUAGGACCUGGCGCCGCCACUGAAUGAUGUUAAGGAGAUGCAUACACUUCAAGCGAUACCCGAAUGGUCCCAAUAACUUCCGUCGACAGGGUCUUCGGAUUUCAAAGCUCGGCGGAUUUCCGUAAUUGUUAGACAUUUGAAAGGCCUCGUGUAUCGGUUGCUCACAACAUAGUGGAAAGGACAAGACACGUAUAUGUAUGACAGCUAUAGGACGAACUUUGUUAUAGUGAUUUUUCUCAAGUUUUUUCACUUUAAGUUGCACAAAAUGUGCCAACGUUUCUGGAUUUACAGUUCAAGUAUGUAAUAUGAGCAUCUUGAUGAACCGUGGCUGCUGCAACAUGUAUGCUGGCAUACAACAAUGUUUUGUUGCAAUAGUUUUAUCGUAUGUUCUUUUAAUCCCUGCUUCA
Lolium perenne is the source of this 812-nucleotide long non-coding RNA. RefSeq lists it as uncharacterized. NCBI's taxonomy places the organism in Eukaryota, Viridiplantae, Streptophyta, Magnoliopsida, Poales, Poaceae. The record is from RefSeq and is a predicted model, not a curated record.